Long non-coding RNA from Xenopus laevis (African clawed frog), 542 nucleotides. RefSeq lists it as uncharacterized. Lineage: Eukaryota; Metazoa; Chordata; Amphibia; Anura; Pipidae. The transcript is spliced from 2 exons. The record is from RefSeq and is a predicted model, not a curated record.
CAGAUUCUGUCCAGCAGAGUUCACAGCAUCCAUCUUCUUCUCUUCGGUAAUCUUUGGAAUGAGACCGGCGAAGCAGCGCAUGUACAGUUGUGGAGAAACUUUCUUUUCCACAACAACUGCGAAUCCGACAAAACUCACAUGGAUGGAGCAUGGAUCUGCAUGCUGCUUAGGUGUGGAUCACCAUAAUUCAACCGAAUAUAUUGAAAAUCUGACCUAAAAUACACGGGCUUGCUGAAAGGAAAAUUGCUGGUGGAAAGAGCAGAGCAGCAUAUGGGCCUUCCACGUGACACUCUGUUGAAGCAGGAGGCAGAGCCAGACAAAGAUCAUGAGGAAAAGAGAAUUGCUGUGCUGCAGUCUUUGAAUCCCUCAUCUGGGAUAUACAACUGCAUACAUUCUGUACCCUUUGAAAUUUUAGAAAGCACUUUUUGCAUGAAGCUGCACUGCACAGUGUACACUGUAAAAGCUAUGGCCAUCUGGUAGGCUUUUGCAUCCUGUGUUAUUAAACACCUAUCGACUAUGCUAUAAAUUCUUUGCUAACCUGA